AACGAACGUUAGCGGCGCGCUUAACACAUGCAAGUCGAGCGAGAAAGGGAGCAAUCCCCGGUACAGCGGCGCACGGGUGAGUAACACGUAGGUAAUCUACCUCGAGUGGGGGAUAACCUUCCGAAAGGAGGGCUAAUACCGCAUGAGACCACGACUUCGAGAGGAGAUGAGGUCAAAGCCGGCCACUUCACGAAAGCUGGCGCUUGAAGACGAGCCUGCGGCCCAUCAGCUAGUUGGUAGGGUAACGGCCUACCAAGGCAUAGACGGGUAGCUGGUCUGAGAGGAUGAUCAGCCACACUGGAACUGAGACACGGUCCAGACUCCUACGGGAGGCAGCAGUGGGGAAUCUUGCGCAAUGGGCGAAAGCCUGACGCAGCGACGCCGCGGUGGGUGAUGAAGGCCUUCGGGUUAGUAAAGCCCUAUGGAGGGGGACGAAUAAGUCGGAGUUAAUAGCUCGCGAUGAUGACGGUACCCCUUUAGCAAGCACCGGCUAACUCUGUG
RNAcentral lists this ribosomal RNA (501 nucleotides) under uncultured bacterium. RNAcentral's name for it is "bacterial SSU rRNA". It matches the Rfam family "Bacterial small subunit ribosomal RNA", at positions 29 to 507 of the family's 1533-position model. The record is from RNAcentral.